AUUGAACGCUGGCGGCAGGCCUAACACAUGCAAGUCGAGCGGAUGAAGGGAGCUUGCUCCUGGAUUCAGCGGCGGACGGGUGAGUAAUGCCUAGGAAUCUGCCUGGUAGUGGGGGAUAACGUCCGGAAACGGGCGCUAAUACCGCAUACGUCCUGAGGGAGAAAGUGGGGGAUCUUCGGACCUCACGCUAUCAGAUGAGCCUAGGUCGGAUUAGCUAGUUGGUGGGGUAAAGGCCUACCAAGGCGACGAUCCGUAACUGGUCUGAGAGGAUGAUCAGUCACACUGGAACUGAGACACGGUCCAGACUCCUACGGGAGGCAGCAGUGGGGAAUAUUGGACACUGGGCGAAAGCCUGAUCCAGCCAUGCCGCGUGUGUGAAGGAGGUCUUCGGAUUGUAAAGCACUUUAAGUUGGGAGGAAGGGCAGUAAGUUAAUACCUUGCUGUUUUGACGUUACCAACAGAAUAAGCACCGGCUAACUUCGUG
RNAcentral lists this ribosomal RNA (484 nucleotides) under uncultured bacterium. RNAcentral describes it as "partial 16S ribosomal RNA". It matches the Rfam family "Bacterial small subunit ribosomal RNA", at positions 30 to 507 of the family's 1533-position model. The record is from RNAcentral.